RNAcentral lists this long non-coding RNA (1087 nucleotides) under Salmo salar (Atlantic salmon). RNAcentral describes it as "lncRNA (ENSSSAG00000085700.1)". The record is from RNAcentral. Lineage: Eukaryota; Metazoa; Chordata; Actinopteri; Salmoniformes; Salmonidae.
UGAAAAUAUGAGCUUGCCGCAAAUUUGCGACAAAUUGGUCAAAGGUUUGCCACAACUGUUUGCUGGAAGCCUGUUAUUGAACUCAACCUGUAGGAGGUUUGUUUGUUGUUAUUGACUGGAGGGGAAACAGCUGCGGGCAAAGUUCUGACAGAUCGGUUCCCAAGGGAACAAACUUUUCAGGUUUUCGCCGAUGACCCUCUCUGCAGACUGGACAAUAAGUUGCCAUUUGCCCUUGCAGUGGGAUCCAAACCCAACGGUGAUGUAAGAGUUUAUUAGGUACACCCCAUUUGCCGCCAGAACAGCCUGAAUUCUUCGGGGGCAUUCUACACGGUGUCGGAAAAGUUCCACAGAGAUGUUGGUCCAUUCUGGCUCGAUGGACGGCGCUACAAUCAUGCUGCGAACAGCCGGUUUCAUCUCAUGAUCCAUUUGGGUUGAGGUCUUGGGUGACUGCACAGGCCACUCAGCUGAUAGAAGUUGAACCCGGUGUGGUCGUCUCCAUCCCAUCCAGGACAGACGAGAUGGCAUUCUGCACACCACUGUUGCACAGCUCCGUUAUUUGCCUGUUUGUGGACCGCCUGUUAGCUUGCAGGGACUCUUGUCCUUCUCCUUCGACCUCUCAUCAACGAGCUGUUUUCACCCACAGGACUGCAGCUGACUGGAUGUUUUUUUGUUUGUUGCACCAUUCUCAGUAAAAACCUAGACACUGUCGUGCUUGAAAAGCCCAGUAGGGCGACCGUUUCUGAGAUACUGGAUCUGGCGAGCCCGGCACCGAGGGGAGGGUUUCUUCGGUGUGUCUGUGCUAUUCAUUCACACCAAACAAGUUCAGUAGCUGCUGAUUAGCUGAUUGCUGACGGGCCUGGAGCUGGUUGCUGACGGGCUGGUCCUGGGGCUGGCUAAGGAUCAAACUCAUCCUCUUCUUCCAACUGACAGUCAGAUUCCAAAUUGACAGAGACAAAAACAAUCCUAAGGCCCUCUGAGUAAAGAUUAUUUUUGCCAUACUGAUUGAGUGUGGUAAGGAGCCACUAUUAGCCGAUAUUUAUUUGUUGUGUCCCUCUCACAAUUUACACAUGGCUGGGGUAGAGUUGGG